Molecule: long non-coding RNA, 557 nt
Organism: Salvelinus namaycush (lake trout)
Lineage: Eukaryota; Metazoa; Chordata; Actinopteri; Salmoniformes; Salmonidae
Exons: 2
Source: RefSeq, a predicted model, not a curated record
AGAGCUGUGUAACGGCCAGGGGCGGGGCUUACGUACGGAGGUGAGGAGUAGGAGUGGUAGCGUCACCCGGAGCCUGUCUUCCAGACCCACCCAGACCGCCAGGGCCCCCAAGGCCAGGCCCUCCUCUGUCCAGCAGACAUGCACCCAGCCCCAGACACAGACCCAGAGAGAAGGCAUGGUGCCUGCUGGUCUGGCCAGCACUCUGGAACACAUAGUGGCUCAACUAGAUGUUCUCACACAGACUGUGGCCAUCCUAGAACAGAGGCUGACUCUGACAGAGGACAAGCUGAAGGAGUGUAUUGACAACCAGCAUCAGAUCAACUUGCAACUCCACCGCAGGGAACCAGACCUCCAACCAAGGGACUAACACCCAACCAGACCACCAGGGAACCAGACCUCCAACCAAGGGACUAACACCCAACUAGAUCUCCAGACCACCAGACCUCCAACCAAGGGACUAACACCCAACUAGAUCUUCAGACCUCCAGACCACCAGGGAACCAGACCUCCAACCAAGGGACUAACACCCAACCAGACCUCCAGACCUCCAACCAAGG